RNAcentral lists this long non-coding RNA (664 nucleotides) under Mustela putorius furo (domestic ferret). Its description in RNAcentral is "lncRNA (ENSMPUG00000031050.1)". Lineage: Eukaryota; Metazoa; Chordata; Mammalia; Carnivora; Mustelidae. The record is from RNAcentral.
ACGGGCUUGGUGGCAGACUUCAGACAUUCUGUGUAUCUUCUGAUUGUUGCCACUGCUAGUUUCUUGUCACCCACGGUGCUAGCUGUCCUGACUCUGUUCCUUCCUCACUCCACACUGCCCUUCUUUCCCGAAGUUAACAGGAGGAUAGCAGUACUGUUAGGUUGCUUUCAGCUAAAAGUAACAGAAAGUCCUUUCUUUCUUAGCUUCCAGAAUGGGGCUUCAUUAUGGGAAGUCCAGAGGGCUUCAGGAUUUACUCUGUCCAGUGGCUCUAGUUCUGCUGCCCUGUGGGUUCUUUUUGUGAGUUUCAUCUUCAGGUUGGUGGCAAGAAGAUGCUGCAUCUGGUCCCAGGCCUCAGAGCUGAGCUGGACAAUAUCCAAAGAAGAAAGAGAAGUCUUUUCUAGAAGCUUUUUGAGAAGACUGAAAAUUUCCCAGGUAACCCAGCCUCUGAGGAUUGGCAGCAAAAAUGAUCCAAGAAAGCACACCUUAAAGUAAGAUUUUUAGACAUUGAUAUCCCACACGUGGGACUAGAUGACAAGGAAGACACCAGUGCUGUUGGUAAGUGGGUCACCUAGCAUGCUGUGGUGGUGGUACUGGGCCUGCUGGGGGCAGGGAACAUUCAGGGUAUGUGUUAGAGUCUCUAGGAUUGUGAAUUAGUUAAAUGGCU